GGGUUUAUAGCUCAGUCGGGAGAGCGCUUCCUUCACACGGAAGAGGUCAGUGGUUCGAUCCCGCUUAAACCCACCA
RNAcentral lists this transfer RNA (76 nucleotides) under Candidatus Enterosoma merdigallinarum. RNAcentral's name for it is "tRNA-Val". It matches the Rfam family "tRNA". From Rfam's summary of the family: Transfer RNA (tRNA) molecules are approximately 80 nucleotides in length. Lineage: Bacteria; Bacillati; Bacillota; Bacilli; Caryophanales. The record is from RNAcentral.